CAUAUAUAGACUGAGGUUAUAGGCCGGGGACGCCUCUGGAAAGGGUGGCUAAUACCGGGUAUGCCGAAAGGUGAAAGGUUAACUGCCUGGAGAUGAGCUCGCGUCUGAUUAGCUAGUUGGUGGUGUAAGGGACUACCAAGGCGACGAUCAGUAGCUGGUCUGAGAGGAUGAUCAACCACACUGGAACUGAAACACGGUCCAGACUCCUACGGGAGGCAGCAGUGGGGAAUUUUCCGCAAUGGGCGAAAGCCUGACGGAGCAAUACCGCGUGAGGGAGGAAGGCUCUUGGGUUGUAAACCUCUUUUCUCAGGGAAUAAGCAAGUGAAGGUACCUGAGGAAUCAGCAUCGGCUAACUCCGUGCCAACAGCCGCGGUAAUACGGAGGAUGCAAGCGUUAUCCGGAAUGAUUGGGCGUAAAGCGUCCGUAGGUGGCUGUGUGUGUCUAUUGUUAAAGAGUUUGGCUCAACCCAAUAAGGGCGGUAAAAAACUACACAGCUAGAGUGCGUUUCGGGGGCAAAAGGAAAUUCCUGGUGGUAGCGGUGAAAUGCGUAAAGAUCAGGAAAAAACACCGGGUGGCGAAAGCGCUCUGCUAGGUCGCAACUGACACUGAGGGGCGAAAGCUAGGGGAGCGAAUGGGAUUAUAUACCCCGGGGAUCAAUAUCCC
This 663-nucleotide ribosomal RNA is filed under the name Westiellopsis sp. LCRNK36. Its description in RNAcentral is "bacterial SSU rRNA". It matches the Rfam family "Bacterial small subunit ribosomal RNA", at positions 112 to 802 of the family's 1533-position model. The record is from RNAcentral. Lineage: Bacteria; Bacillati; Cyanobacteriota; Cyanophyceae; Nostocales; Hapalosiphonaceae.